UACGAAGGGGGCUAGCGUUGCUCGGAAUCACUGGGCGUAAAGGGUGCGUAGGCGGGUCCUUAAGUCAGGGGUGAAAUCCUGGAGCUCAACUCCAGAACUGCCCUUGAUACUGAGGAGCUCGAGUCCGGAAGAGGUGAGUGGAACUCCGAGUGUAGAGGUGAAAUUCGUAGAUAUUCGGAAGAACACCAGUGGCGAAGGCGGCUCACUGGUCCGGUACUGACGCUGAGGUGCGAAAGCGUGGGGAGCAAACAGG
This 253-nucleotide ribosomal RNA is filed under the name uncultured bacterium. Its description in RNAcentral is "partial 16S ribosomal RNA". It matches the Rfam family "Bacterial small subunit ribosomal RNA", at positions 524 to 776 of the family's 1533-position model. The record is from RNAcentral.